This 253-nucleotide ribosomal RNA is filed under the name uncultured bacterium. RNAcentral describes it as "partial 16S ribosomal RNA". It matches the Rfam family "Bacterial small subunit ribosomal RNA", at positions 524 to 776 of the family's 1533-position model. The record is from RNAcentral.
UACGAAGGGUGCAAGCGUUACUCGGAAUUACUGGGCGUAAAGCGUGCGUAGGUGGUUUGUUAAGUCUGUUGUGAAAGCCCCGGGCUCAACCUGGGAAUGGCAAUGGAUACUGGCAGGCUAGAGUGCGGUAGAGGAUGGCGGAAUUCCCGGUGUAGCAGUGAAAUGCGUAGAUAUGCGGAGGAACACCGAUGGCGAAGGCAAUCCCCUGGACCUGUACUGACGCUCAUGCACGAAAGCGUGGGGAGCAAACAGG